Pseudophryne corroboree (corroboree frog) is the source of this 698-nucleotide long non-coding RNA. RefSeq lists it as uncharacterized. NCBI's taxonomy places the organism in Eukaryota, Metazoa, Chordata, Amphibia, Anura, Myobatrachidae. The transcript has 4 exons. The record is from RefSeq and is a predicted model, not a curated record.
UUUGCACAGAAGUCACCCCUGUGUUGGCUCCGUCCGGCAGGUCCGGUCUCCUUGGUUACGGAGUCUCCGUGGUUACUAGGCAACGAUGCAAGGGGCUCGAGCUCACGUCACAGCUGUGGCCCACGUGACCGGAACUCAGAGCAGCCGCGGCUUCCGGCCUCGGGACGCCGGCUGGCGGGAGCGCACGGGGAGGACCUCACAAGUAUUCAGCACCGGUGGGUCACCGCAGUACACAGGAUCCAGCGCCCAGCAGAAGCAGCGCGGACCGGCUCCCUGGACUGGUUGGAAGCUGCAAUAAGCCACUUGAUACCCCAUCUGUGUAUCUCGGCAUGAUAUGACUGGGAUACUGCUUUGGUGAUUUGACAUAAUGUAUCAAUAGUAAUGACAUGGAGACUGCAUGCACUUCAGGGAGAGCCAGACCCUGCUCUCAACCUCUUAGCACAACAGAUUAGAGGAAAAAGCAAAGUCAGGUCUUUUUUUCAUGCAACAUGAUCGCUGCAAGACAGCCUCUGUUCCAUUAUUUAUUGCCAGUAUUCAAAACACAUUCGACUUGAGUACCACGUGACAUUACAGUACAUGCUUAACCGAUUCACUGCCACAAUAUAGGUGACGUGCAGGAAAUUCAAAAUAUUUUUUUGAAAUCAGCAAUUUUUUAUGGAUUCACUAUUAUGUUAAUCAGACUUAAUGAUGCUAUACUA